Molecule: long non-coding RNA, 218 nt
Filed under: Helianthus annuus (common sunflower)
Lineage: Eukaryota; Viridiplantae; Streptophyta; Magnoliopsida; Asterales; Asteraceae
Description: hypothetical non coding rna
Source: RNAcentral
AACGUGGUCAAAGCUGGUCAAAGGAGGUCAAAGCUGGUCAAACUCAGUCAACUGCUGGUCAACGCAGUCAACUCAGUCAACACGAGGCUCGGUAAAAUUUAAACGAUGCGAAUUCUGAAUGUCGUAGUUGCACGCUAGCUACUUCACAUUCUUGGAACGACACUACGGAAUCACGUUAAGCUAGCUUUGCCCAGGAAUAUUCAGAUGAGUUCAUAACC